AUGAAUAAGAGAAGAGCUGCUACUGUUCUCGUAAUAAGAACAAGGCAAGAUCCAUCUAGGAUCCACGUAAAUCGAGGGCAGCCAUUGAGACCUGAGGUAUUCCGACCUGAUAAGAAGCCAGAGAAACAAGCAAAACACUCAAGGUGGGUUGGAGGCAAGGGCAGGUGGAAACGUCUUCUGCACUUGUCUAUGGAAGAGCUUUGUUCCAUACACAGUUCUCUCAUCACCACGAGCUCGCCAUCUACGGCGGCCUCUGUCCGGAAACCUGCCACGCAUACCGUCCGCUGGGACACCUGGAGGAAAACAAAGCAAAGCCACCACAGUGGUCUGCUCCUGCUCUCUAGGGACGGCCACACGGCUUUGCCCCGAGCCCGCCGAGAACUCCAACCACUCAGACAUCUCUUAUUGAAAGUCAUGAAGUAUUGCAGAUACCCUGGCAUAACAAUCACCACGGCGCCAACACCCAGCUCAAGAAAUAGAACAUUACAGUUGAAGUUACCUACAAGCUUUGCCUCUCCCUUCUCUCCUACCUACUCAAAGCACACAUAUGCCCCUGCUGAAAUGAGCCACCAUCUUGAGUUUGGGGUUCUUCAUUCUCCAUAG
This 603-nucleotide long non-coding RNA is filed under the name Vulpes vulpes (red fox). RNAcentral describes it as "lncRNA (ENSVVUG00000000393.1)". The record is from RNAcentral. Lineage: Eukaryota; Metazoa; Chordata; Mammalia; Carnivora; Canidae.